AGAGUGUUGAGAGGUGGGUGUUUAAGCUAAGGGAGAUGAAAAUCAUCCCAAAGUAGUGGAAGAUUUAUGCUUUUUCUUUGUUUCAAUAAGGGCGCAAAGAAGGGCAUGUCACAAUACAUGUGAAGCCUUGUAGAUUAAUGAAUUUAGAGAACAGUGUUGCAAGGUACUACAUGGUUCUCCUUUUUCGAGAAAUUAUUGAAUUGCACCUGGGAGAUAAACGAUUUUGAUUUAUUUUAAAAAGUCCCAUCAAAAUACCCAUUAUCAUGAUUGGGAAUGGUUGAAAAAGAAUAAAAUGGUAAAUAAUUGAUAAGUUAGGUAUAUUGCUAAAUUCCCUUCAUUUUAUCUUGGUACUGUUCUCCAGGACUAUUUCCCCCCUUUAUUACCAUAUAGGGUAUAUUUUUUGUGAAAAUUACGACAAGCAAACCCCCCCUCCCUCCAGCUGCGAGCUUUUUUGUUUUUUAUUAAAUUGCCCAUCUGUCUAGCAUUGAAAACACCAGAUUGGAGCAAAACCCUGUAAUAUGUUGUGCUUCCCCUCUGCCUGGUAUUUUACACACAAAAUAGCCCUAUCUUUCAUUGUAGCUUUG
This 584-nucleotide long non-coding RNA is filed under the name Amborella trichopoda. RNAcentral's name for it is "long non-coding RNA (ATRI_LNC004800)". Lineage: Eukaryota; Viridiplantae; Streptophyta; Magnoliopsida; Amborellales; Amborellaceae. The record is from RNAcentral.